This 609-nucleotide ribosomal RNA is filed under the name Salmonella enterica. RNAcentral describes it as "partial 23S ribosomal RNA". It matches the Rfam family "Bacterial large subunit ribosomal RNA", at positions 1084 to 1693 of the family's 2925-position model. Lineage: Bacteria; Pseudomonadati; Pseudomonadota; Gammaproteobacteria; Enterobacterales; Enterobacteriaceae. The record is from RNAcentral. RNAcentral also lists the same sequence under 1 other name.
CCCAGACAGCCAGGAUGUUGGCUUAGAAGCAGCCAUCAUUUAAAGAAAGCGUAAUAGCUCACUGGUCGAGUCGGCCUGCGCGGAAGAUGUAACGGGGCUAAACCAUGCACCGAAGCUGCGGCAGCGACACUGUGUGUUGUUGGGUAGGGGAGCGUUCUGUAAGCCUGCGAAGGUGUCCCGUGAGGGAUGCUGGAGGUAUCAGAAGUGCGAAUGCUGACAUAAGUAACGAUAAAGCGGGUGAAAAGCCCGCUCGCCGGAAGACCAAGGGUUCCUGUCCAACGUUAAUCGGGGCAGGGUGAGUCGACCCCUAAGGCGAGGCCGAAAGGCGUAGUCGAUGGGAAACGGGUUAAUAUUCCCGUACUUGGUGUUACUGCGAAGGGGGGACGGAGAAGGCUAUGUUGGCCGGGCGACGGUUGUCCCGGUUUAAGCGUGUAGGUGUGUGUUCCAGGUAAAUCCGGUUCACUUUAACACUGAGGCGUGACGACGAGGCACUACGGUGCUGAAGCAACAAAUGCCCUGCUUCCAGGAAAAGCCUCUAAGCAUCAGGUAACAUCAAAUCGUACCCCAAACCGACACAGGUGGUCAGGUAGAGAAUACCAAGGCGCUUGA